UUGGGAGGCCAAGAUGGAUGGAUUCUGAGGUCAGGAGUUCAAGACCAGCCUGGCCAAGAUGGUCCAGAAGUGUCAUUCUAAAGCUGGUAGAGGUUUCACGAGUCAUCAGGGACCCAGAACCCUUCUCUUUUGCUGUCCCCUUGUCCUAGUGCAUGGUUUCCACAUUGUGGUGCAAGAUGUCUGCUCAAGCUCUAGGCAUUACAUCUGCUAUCCUGCUGUCAUAAAAAGGAAGGGGAAAAGAAGAUCAUUUUCCUUCCCUUUAAGGACAUUUCCCAGAAGUCACACAGAACAUUUCCAUUUAUAUUACUUUGGCCAGAACUUGGUCAUAUGGCCACAUUUAGCUCCAGAGUGGUUAGGAAAUGCAGUCUUUUAUUUUGGAGAUCCCUGUGCCCAGGAAAACACUGGAGGCCUUUUUCAAGGAAAAAGGGGAAAACAGAUAUUGGUUGACAAAUAGCAGUCUCUGCCAUACUGUCCCUGGAUACAUGUCUUUGGGUGAAUGUCCCUUAUUUACCAUUCUGAUUGCUUGUUGGAUAUUUUCAAUAUGUGUUAUAAUAUGGUUCCAAAAUUGUAUGUGAUAUUCCAACAGCAAGUUGGAUGCAGUGUGUCAUAUAAAUGACCUCAGUGUCAACCAGCAUUUGAAUACCGUGUCUCAAUGCUAUGCACCAAUAAAGAACAUAGAAAGUCAGAGAUUUCCAUAAAUAA
Long non-coding RNA from Piliocolobus tephrosceles (Ugandan red Colobus), 702 nucleotides. RefSeq lists it as uncharacterized. The transcript has 2 exons. Lineage: Eukaryota; Metazoa; Chordata; Mammalia; Primates; Cercopithecidae. The record is from RefSeq and is a predicted model, not a curated record.